AUUGAACGCUGGCGGCAUGCUUUACACAUGCAAGUCGAACGGUAACAGGCCUUCGGGUGCUGACGAGUGGCGCACGGGUGAGUAAUGCAUCGGAACGUACCCAGAGGUGGGGGAUAACGCAGCGAAAGCUGUGCUAAUACCGCAUGUGAUCUGAGGAUGAAAGCGGGGGACCGAGCAGCAAUGUUUGGCCUCGCGCCUUUGGAGCGGCCGAUGUCGGAUUAGCUAGUUGGUGGGGUAAAGGCCUACCAAGGCGACGAUCCGUAGCUGGUCUGAGAGGACGACCAGCCACACUGGGACUGAAACACGGCCCAGACUCCUACGGGAGGCAGCAGUGGGGAAUUUUGGACAAUGGGCGCAAGCCUGAUCCAGCAAUGCCGCGUGCGGGAAGAAGGCCUUCGGGUUGUAAACCGCUUUUGGCAGGAACGAAACGGUGUCCGCUAAUACCGGGCGCUAAUGACGGUACCUGCAGAAUAAGCACCGGCUAACUACGUG
This 492-nucleotide ribosomal RNA is filed under the name uncultured bacterium. RNAcentral describes it as "partial 16S ribosomal RNA". It matches the Rfam family "Bacterial small subunit ribosomal RNA", at positions 29 to 507 of the family's 1533-position model. The record is from RNAcentral.